RNAcentral lists this ribosomal RNA (497 nucleotides) under uncultured bacterium. RNAcentral's name for it is "partial 16S ribosomal RNA". It matches the Rfam family "Bacterial small subunit ribosomal RNA", at positions 28 to 507 of the family's 1533-position model. The record is from RNAcentral.
GAUGAACGCUGGCGGCGUGCCUAAUACAUGCAAGUCGAGCGAACAGAUGAGGAGCUUGCUCCUCUGACGUUAGCGGCGGACGGGUGAGUAACACGUGGAUAACCUACCUAUAAGACUGGGAUAACUUCGGGAAACCGGAGCUAAUACCGGAUAAUAUAUUGAACCGCAUGGUUCAAUAGUGAAAGACGGUUUUGCUGUCACUUAUAGAUGGAUCCGCGCCGCAUUAGCUAGUUGGUAAGGUAACGGCUUACCAAGGCGACGAUGCGUAGCCGACCUGAGAGGGUGAUCGGCCACACUGGAACUGAGACACGGUCCAGACUCCUACGGGAGGCGGCAGUAGGGAAUCUUCCGCAAUGGGCGAAAGCUUGACGGAGCAACGCCGCGUGAGUGAUGAAGGUCUUCGGAUCGUAAAACUCUGUUAUUAGGGAAGAACAAAUGUGUAAGUAACUAUGCACGUCUUGACGGUACCUAAUCAGAAAGCCACGGCUAACUACGUG